RNAcentral lists this ribosomal RNA (465 nucleotides) under Vreelandella stevensii. Its description in RNAcentral is "partial 16S ribosomal RNA". It matches the Rfam family "Bacterial small subunit ribosomal RNA", at positions 338 to 795 of the family's 1533-position model. Lineage: Bacteria; Pseudomonadati; Pseudomonadota; Gammaproteobacteria; Oceanospirillales; Halomonadaceae. The record is from RNAcentral.
CCUACGGGAGGCUGCAGUGGGGAAUCUUGGACAAUGGGCGAAAGCCUGAUCCAGCCAUGCCGCGUGUGUGAAGAAGGCCUUCGGGUUGUAAAGCACUUUCAGUGGGGAAGAAAGCCUUGGGGCUAAUACCCUCGAGGAAGGACAUCACCCACAGAAGAAGCACCGGCUAACUCCGUGCCAGCAGCCGCGGUAAUACGGAGGGUGCGAGCGUUAAUCGGAAUUACUGGGCGUAAAGCGCGCGUAGGCGGUCUGAUAAGCCGGUUGUGAAAGCCCCGGGCUCAACCUGGGAACGGCAUCCGGAACUGUCAGGCUAGAGUGCAGGAGAGGAAGGUAGAAUUCCCGGUGUAGCGGUGAAAUGCGUAGAGAUCGGGAGGAAUACCAGUGGCGAAGGCGGCCUUCUGGACUGACACUGACGCUGAGGUGCGAAAGCGUGGGUAGCAAACAGGAUUAGAUACCCGAGUAGUC